This 517-nucleotide ribosomal RNA is filed under the name uncultured Flavobacterium sp. RNAcentral's name for it is "bacterial SSU rRNA". It matches the Rfam family "Bacterial small subunit ribosomal RNA", at positions 9 to 518 of the family's 1533-position model. Lineage: Bacteria; Pseudomonadati; Bacteroidota; Flavobacteriia; Flavobacteriales; Flavobacteriaceae. The record is from RNAcentral.
GAGUUUGAUCAUGGCUCAGGAUGAACGCUAGCGGCAGGCCUAACACAUGCAAGUCGAGGGGCAGCAUAAGGAAAGUUUACUUUCCUGGUGGCGACCGGCGCACGGGUGCGUAACGCGUAUGCAACCUACCCUGUACUGGGGGAUAGCCCGGAGAAAUUCGGAUUAAUACCCCAUAGUAUUGUUUAAUAGCAUUAUUAGAUAAUUAAAGGUUACGGUACAGGAUGGGCAUGCGUCCUAUUAGCUAGAUGGUGAGGUAACGGCUCACCAUGGCGACGAUAGGUAGGGGGCCUGAGAGGGUGGUCCCCCACACUGGUACUGAGACACGGACCAGACUCCUACGGGAGGCAGCAGUGAGGAAUAUUGGUCAAUGGGCGCAAGCCUGAACCAGCCAUGCCGCGUGAAGGAUGAAGGUUCUAUGGAUUGUAAACUUCUUUUAUUAGGGAAUAAACCCUCUUACGUGUAGGAGGCUGAAGGUACCUAAUGAAUAAGCACCGGCUAACUCCGUGCCAGCCGCCGC